AGUUUCUAAUCUGUUCUGGGCCCUUCUGUCGGUUGAGCUUACGGGUCAAAAUAUCCGACCUGAUUCACGAGUUUAGGAAUCAGGAGGCGGAGCCUAACCUAGACUUUUGUUUUUCGGAUACGGUUCAAGUUACCAUCCAUUCCAUUGCGUAUUCUAUAGUCGGGCCUCUGUGUUCACGCACCUUGACAGAUUAGCAGCUGCCUUCCUCAAUCUUCCAGCUGAUAGAUAAUUCGGGACUUGCUGUCGGAGGCGUGCCUUUUCCGUCGGAAACUCUCCAUAGCAUUCUUGCUGGGACGUGGUUACCAAUUGGAUUUGGGAUCUGGGAUUUAUCUGUUGAAAACAUGGCCAAGCAUCAUCCUGAUUUGAUUAUGUGCAGGAAGCAGCCGGGGAUAGCCAUUGGACGGCUUUGUGAAAAAUGUGACGGAAAGUGUGUAGUCUGUGAUUCUUAUGUGCGCCCUUGCACGCUGGUCCGAGUUUGUGAUGAGUGCAACUACGGAUCAUUUCAGGGUCGCUGUGUCAUCUGUGGAGGAGUGGGAAUCUCUGAUGCCUACUACUGUAAAGAGUGUACUCAACAAGAGAAAGAUCGGGAUGGGUGUCCUAAAAUCGUUAAUCUUGGAAGUGCUAAGACAGAUUUGUUUUAUGAGCGUAAGAAAUAUGGCUUCAAGAAAAGAUAGAGGAUCCACAUUCAUGCCUGUGCCCCUCGCAGCAGGUCAGAUUAUGCAAAAGAUGCCAGAUGACCUUUUUUUCUGGUAAGAUCCAGUCGAGUAUCUGGACGGUGGGGAGUCAUGUUUUCUUCACCAAUUUUUUCCAUUGAAAGGAGGAAUACACAGCAUGCUUAGAUGCCAUGUGACAAACAAAAGACAACAACGCAAAGUUGUUACCAUAAUGAAGGCGUGUGGCACACUGGUUAAGUACUACUACUUUUCCGGAUGUGUUGAUGCUAGUCGAGUUUGCUAAGCCUAGUUUGAAUUACCAUAGUCUUCUCCUUAAAACCCGUCGAGUAUCACUCUACUUUUCCGGAUGUUUUGAUGCUAGUCGAGUUUACCAGGCCUAA
Molecule: RNA transcript, 1054 nt
Organism: Coffea eugenioides
Lineage: Eukaryota; Viridiplantae; Streptophyta; Magnoliopsida; Gentianales; Rubiaceae
Gene name: PHD finger-like domain-containing protein 5B
Exons: 4
Source: RefSeq, a predicted model, not a curated record